GAGCCAUGAAGGACCGCUGGCCUGCCCUGUUUAACUGUUCCCAGAGAAUCACUACUGUGCCUCCGGAGCCCAGAUUUAUGGCUGCUUUGGACCUUCACACACCCAAGUUACUCAAGCUGUUUCUUGCCAAAGGUGGAGCACUUGGACAAAGACCGCAAAUCAUAAUGGAACUAAUGGAGGAUUCUUCACACUCUUCUGUUGAGAGGACCAGAGAUGUUGACCUUUGGUGCCUGAUAGAAUACCUUGGUGAAAAUGGAGAACAUCUG
Cheilinus undulatus (humphead wrasse) is the source of this 266-nucleotide long non-coding RNA. RefSeq lists it as uncharacterized. NCBI's taxonomy places the organism in Eukaryota, Metazoa, Chordata, Actinopteri, Labriformes, Labridae. The transcript is spliced from 3 exons. The record is from RefSeq and is a predicted model, not a curated record.